ACUUCAGGAGGGGAAGAGAGGAAGUGCGCUGGGCAAAGAGGAAACGAUGUCACAGGACACACUUUUGCUGUCUUUGCUGCUGUCGCCUAAGAGGUGGACACAGCUCCCGAGGACUUACGCUAGAAGCCAAGCCAGUCUCCUCACCUGAAAAAUGGGAAGAGCAAAAUAUCCUACCCUAGAGGGUUGCUGUGAGAGCCGAAAGCGUCUAUCCACGUGAAGCACAUGGGACAGAGCCUGGCACAAAGAAAAUGCUUCCCAUGGUUUCAUGUACAGUCCUGCCUUACCCCGGUUGUCUUCCUUGUUGCCUGUGACCAUGUCUUCUCACUGUA
Molecule: long non-coding RNA, 329 nt
Filed under: Homo sapiens (human)
Lineage: Eukaryota; Metazoa; Chordata; Mammalia; Primates; Hominidae
Description: HSALNT0349679
Source: RNAcentral